Molecule: long non-coding RNA, 5353 nt
Filed under: Homo sapiens (human)
Lineage: Eukaryota; Metazoa; Chordata; Mammalia; Primates; Hominidae
Description: HSALNT0140605
Source: RNAcentral
ACUAUGAGAGAAUACAGGGUCUAAUCUCCAGUGUACAUGUCAAAAAGGGGAAUGGGCUGCAGCAUCUAGAGAGGAGACCAUCCUGUAGACCCAUCCUGUUGUUUUACAAAGUGUGGGAAACCACUGAUGAGGUAGGUGUGUUUUGGGUGGAGAAGGAAAGGCAGGGUAGAAGAGAGCGGAAUCCAGCCAGGCAGCCCCCAAUGGAAGAAUAUUCAACUCUAGCUCAACGUGGGGAAGGUAAUGACUUUGAUCCUUCCAGUUACCUUUUCUAGAGGGAAUAUGGAAAGAAUCCAGAGUGGACAAGGGCAGCCUCACAUUAGGACCCCAUCCAAUGGGCAUAUCUGUCACUUUCCAGCACACCAGGACUCUAGGGCGCCAGGAUGGGCAUAGCUGUGGCAGAGGUGAGAGGCAGCCUGUGGGAGGCUGUGAGCCCAGGUGGCCACCUGGUCCUUAUAGCCAUGAGGUUUGCAGGCAGUGCCUCAAGCAUCACAGCAGCUGCAGUGCAGGCACCUGGCUGUGGACAACCUCAUGGGGGUGGCGAGCAGGUGGCCCAAGGUGCCAGGGCCAGCAUGGCAUCCGCAGGGUCAGCUAGUCUUCAGUGCUGCCAAGAAGAGUUUAUGAGCUGCCUCUCCUCUGCUACCAGGAAACAGCCUGAUGGGGUGCGUAGGGACUGAAGUUUCCACAAUUAGCUGGAGGAAGAGGAGAUCUUGAGAAACAGUGGUAAUUUCGCUGUAAUUGUAUGUGUGCCACUCCCCGGCCCUGAAGGGCAUGAGCAAGAAAGACUGAAAGUUGUGAAAUGUACCAGGGAAGACACUGCGGUUCUGUGGUGACGGUGAAAAUGAACGUCUCAAAAGCUGGGUGAUGGCUCAGCUGGACCCAGCAUGUUAGCAACCCGUGUUUGAACAGAAGGAAAUGAAAAAUAAAGUAGAAGGACAAGGGAAGGAAAUUGGGAUCUCUUUUCAUGGAGGCACAGAAUGAAAUGAGGUCUCACCAUAUUGCCCAGGCUGGAGUGCAGUGGCUAUUCACAGGCACGAGCACAGCAUGCUACAGUCUCAAGCCUCCCGAGUAGCUAGGACUACAGGCAAGUGCCAGCGUGCCUGGCAAAGUGGCAUAUGUUUCACCUUAAGAGGCCUUUUCAGAUGCUCGGGAGACUGAGACAGAAUUUCUUAAACAGAGGAGAUGGAGGUUGCAGUGAGCCAAGAUCACACCACUGCAGUCCAGCCUGGUGGAUAGAGCAAGACUCCCUCUCAAAAACAAAAACAAAAAAAAAGAUGUCCUUCAAUAGAGAAAGGGGCUCACUGUGUCACCCAGGCUGGAAUGCAGUGGCACAAUCACAGCUCCCUGCAGCCUCAAACUCCUGGGAUCAAGCAAUCCUCCCCACUGAGCCUCCGGAGUAGCUGGGACUACAGAGUUAAAGAAGACUUGAAAGAAGGGGAUGUGAGUGGCAGGAAAAUCCCCAGUGACCGGCCCUGAACCUUCUGCCAGCGCAGCUCACCUCCUCCCCAAAUGCCUCCCAAUAGGAUCUCAGCCCUAAACAAGCACAGGGCGUGGGGUGGUACAGAUGAUGAUGUAGCUGCUUCUGAGAUGCCCCUGGGCGCUGCUGGAGCUGAGCCCUGGGACUGGAAUGACUUUUGCCCGCUGCCCUCAAAAUUCCCACAGGCCACACCGCUACCACCUCUUGGAUAUAAGCUCCAUGAGAACAGCCACCUUGUUUACCUUGUUCAUGGAUACAGAACAGUGCCUGGUGCUCAAUAAAUGAACAGUGAGUGAAUAAGUGAGUGUUGAGUCAUCUAAGUGAGCUUAGAUGAACUGACAAUGAGACUGUGCACAAUGAAGAGAAAGGAGGACUCUUGAGGAAUUCCACCAGCUUGAAGAUGGCUGAAGAAAGAUGACAGAAAGCAAUCAGAGGGAUGGAGGGCAAACUAAGAAAGCAGAGUCAAGAGUAGGAAGAUUGGGAAGUGGUAGACAACAUUAGGAAAUACUGCAGAAAAACCUAAAAGGAUGAGAAUUAGGAAAGACACUAUUGAAUUUGGUCUUUGGGGCUGAAAAAAAAGGCAGCUGCAGAAAAGAAAUUGGAGUGGAACCCCAUUUGCACAGAAAUUAUGGAGUAAUUAGGACACCAGGCAGAAAGUUUGGCAAUGAAUGGAAGGAGAGAUGACAGCCUUGGGCAUUCGCUCGCAGAACGCAAGGACAUUCAUUCUUAAUUCAGUAGAAAAGUGUCGUGUUGUUACUGUCUCAAGUGGAAGCGCCCUCUCACUCCUUCAUUGUCCUAAGAGAACAAAAGGGGCCUUGAAUUUCAUGACUGCCCCAGUGAUGCUUCUGAGAGCUUGAGCUUUGGAAUCAGACUGCCCACAUUCAAACCCCAGUUCUUCCUAUUGCUGGCUGUGUGAUUUGGGGAAAAUUACUUGAUUCCCUAAGUUUUCUCAUCUGUGAAAUGGGGAUUCACUCAGUUAGUGAAUAUUAUUCAGCUCCUACCAUGUGCAGACACUGUUCUAGUGGGGGAUUCAGCAUACCAGCAGUAAAUGGAUCUCUGUACAAUGCCAAAAACAUGAAGCCAACUAUUCAUAGUAUUUUUAAGUGAUAUCCUGGUGCUGCUUCCAGGAAGAUGGAGUAGAUAUACUUUUCCCUAUUGCUCCCACUAAGUACAACUAAAACCCUGGACAUUAUGUAUAAACAUGCAUAAGAAGAUGCUGAAAGGUGGUAAGAAAGCAGACUGGCCAGGGACUUUGCGAUCCAAGGAACAACCUGGUGAUGAGUUUCCUGUACCCCAGACUUGGGAUAAAGGAGCUGGCAACCCAGAAAUGCCAACGGGAGCAAAUAAAAAAUCCCCAACAAAAGCCUGUUUCUCUAGACAAAGGACUAGGACAGGGGCAGCCUAACAAAACAGAAAACUCUUAGUAACAACUUACUCCAGCUAAAUAGCACAGAAAAACCUAUGGUCCACUCCCACCCACACCACCCAAGGGUGUGGGAGUCCAGGCUAUCACAAGGGGCCUCGCCUCCACUGGUGUGGUAUCGCAAAAGCCACAGGGAGCUGGUUCUUUCAUCCCCAUCUGACAAAAGGCUCCCACCCCCAUGGUGUCAGCGGAGACCACACUGGGAGCCUGAACUUCCACCCACUCACAGCUGUAACAAGGCAGUCCCUCCACCUCCCUGCUGGGGUGGUGUCAGAGGAGGCCAAGUGGAGAGUCAGGACUUUCACCAUAGCCCAGUGACAAUGAAGCCACCUCCCUAUGGUGUCAGUGGAGGCCAUAAGGAACAGUAACGAGGUCUAGUGGGAAUCCAGAACUGCCACCCUGCCCAGCAGUAACCAGGAGCCCCUCCCCUCCGUGUGGACAGAGGCCAAGUGCUGAAGCUGGACUUUGCUCCCCCUAGCCCUGCUAGGUGGCUAUUAGAACAGCCAGCUAAAACUGGUUUCACCAAGACAGAUUUAGGAAGACAGUGCCCCGGGCAGGAAAAUGAAGGCACGGAGAGGUUAAAUAUAAUAACUUGCUAGUGGUCAAUCAGUAGGCAGUAGAGGAGCCAGCAUAUAAACCCAAGCUGCCCAGCUGCAGAACCACAUUCUUGUCCCAUAUGCUAUGCCUCUCAAAAAAGGAGGCCCUCUCCUUGGGACACAAAGGUAAUAAAAAUGCCUGCCCUGAGCUGUGUCUCUGUCUAGGUACACAGUUCAUGAGUGAAGGAGCUCCUGGAGUCAUGAAUAAUGGAAGUCCAGAUUGGUCAAGUAACUUGUCCCAGCCCCAGCCCAUGCAUCUGGUAUGUGGUUGGACAGGUUUCUAACUCAUUACGUAACAUCAAGAACAUUUUAAACUGCUUUGAGACAUUUGUGAAUUAAGAUCUCAAUAAAUAGUCCUCCCUGGCACCAGCUCCAUCCACAUUAAAUGAGACUUGAAAAUUUCUUUGAAUGGAUAUUAGUUUAGAAGGAGCUAAGUUAUUAGUUGGCCUCACAUUCCUCAGUUGGGCCCUGGGCCCAGCAUGCCACUUCUCCUGGUUAUUAUGGUUCACAUCUGAGGUAACCCAUCGGGAAACUGGAUGGGACAACAAACUAAAAAUGUUUUAGUUUGGACCUGUCCAAAACCAAGAGAAUAAAAACAAAAUGGAUAGUCAAGAUGAUUCAGAGCUAUGGAAUGUGUCAUUUUUGCUCAGAAGCGUGCUAACUUGCAGUGUGGUUUAUCAAAGCCUUGAAUUUAUCGUCUUCCUUGUUUCUGCUGCCUUUUCACUGUUAGAAGAGGGAGAAGGAGGAAAACAAAAAAGGAAACCAAAAAGAGAAAAUGCCUUAUUUUUCUCAUUCUCAUUAAACACAGUGAAAGAGAGAACUGAAGGGAUUGACUGAAAUUUGAUUUUCCUAGACUCUACCCCACUUUAGACAAUGAUUUAAAAAACCUAGAUUUAUGAAAAUGAUCAAGUGAAGAGUGACUACCCACUUCAGAGUUUUUAUUUUUAAUAAAAGGGUUUUAGGAGAACUUUUUUUUUAAAAGUGAUUUCCUUUAUUUAAAAUACCCUUCAUGCUGGGCACAGUGGCUCACACCCAUAAUGCCAGCACUUUGAGAGGCCAAGACAGGGAGAUUACCUGAGCCCAGCCCAGGCAACAUAGUGAGACCCUGUCUCUCAAAAAAAAAAAAAAAAAAAAAAAGCAAGCAAGCAAGCCAGGCAUGAUGGCACAUGCCUAUAGACCCAGCUACUUGGGAGGCUGAGGUGGGAGGAUCAUUUGAGCUCAGGAGUUCAAGGUUAUAGUGAGCCAUGAUCACUCCACUGCACUACAGCCUGGGUAACAGAGACCCCAUUUCUCAAAAUAAAAUAAAUACCCUUCAGGCUCAGAUAUAUAUAGAAAUUGAGUACAGAUAUAUGCUCAGAAUGGCUUUUCAAAUCUGAUGGUAUUGGCUUAAGUGGACAACCAUCUGUGGAUGCAUACUUCACACCUUGCUUCAAAUUCAUUCCAUGUGGAUCUAAAUGCAAGAAAUGAAAACAUGAAAGUACUAAAAGAAAUCGUGGGAGAAAAGGUUUUAUAAACUUCAAGGGGACAAAUAUAAAGAACUAAAUCAAAGGAUAAACAAAUGGAUUUUAAAUAUAUAAAAGGUGCUCAAAUUCACCCAUAAUAAAGGCAAAUGAAACUAUACCUAGAAGUGACAGAAGUAUAUAAAUCCCAUGUUCUAUCCCACCCUAAAAAUCCUUAUCAAUACUAGCAAAGGUUAUGCUGGCUUUUCAGAGAAUAUUCCAUGGGAUGGUGGCUUAAGCAACUUUAUUUGGUUAUUAAAGGAAAGGUAGACCUCAUAAGGCUGGGAGGCCUUAAGUACAUUUGGAUUAUAACUGCAAAAUAAGAGAAAAGAACAUACUCCCACUAAAUAAAACAUCUUCU